Molecule: long non-coding RNA, 1608 nt
Organism: Homo sapiens (human)
Lineage: Eukaryota; Metazoa; Chordata; Mammalia; Primates; Hominidae
Gene: DRAIC
Product: downregulated RNA in cancer, inhibitor of cell invasion and migration
Source: Ensembl
GGCGUGAGGAACACCAGCCAAGUCCUUCUGGCUGCGGUUAAAAGGGCUCACCAGCCUCUCCCUGAAGUCUUGGCCCGGGAGCCUGUGUCCUCCAGGUAGCUGUGCUGUGGGGAGCUGGAGAGGACUGAAGAGCUGAGGAGGGUCAUUGUGAAGCAUCUUGGGUUGGAGCUUUGUGUCUGAGGAUGGUGGGGCAGAAGACCUCAGCCCUUGCCCUCAAGGAACUUCUAGUCUAAGUGGAAAAGCAAGCUUAUUUCCUUUGACUUCCUCAACCCUCCUGUGAAAAGAGCCCUGGCCUUGGGUUUUAAUCCCACCUCUGCCAUUUGUUAGUUCUGUGACCUUGGGUGCAUGCCUUAAUCUUUCUGAACCUCUGUGUCUUCAUCAGCGAAAUGCAGAAAUGAUAAUGCCUCACAAGCUGGUUGUACAGAUUGAAUAACAAUGUGAACAGAGCACCGAGUAUAAUCCCUGAAACAGCAAACCAGAGGUCCCGUCUGGCUGGCAUGAAUGGAAGGGCAAACGCUCCGACCAAAUUGCUCUGGGAAUGUCAUUCUAAUUAUUGGAUCCUGACCCAGCAGCAUGCUGAUAAGCUCUGGGUUGGAGACGCCCUAUCUCAGAGGAGCUCCAAACCUGCUCAAGGCCUUUUCUUGCCCUCUGCAACUUUCCUGCCAAGCAAUUAGCCUCCAGGGUAAAACUGGUGUCCUUAGAAGAAGAGGAAAUUGGAACACGGACACGCACAGAGGAAAGACCAAGUGAAGAUACAGUGAGAAGAUGGCCAACGACAAGCCGAGGAACAGGGUCUCAGAGGACCCCAACCCUGCUGACACCUUGAUCUCGGGCUUUCAGCUUCCAGCACUGUGGCAAAAUUCAUUUCUACUGUUUAGGCCUCCCGGUCUGUGACAUGUUGUCACGGUGGCCACUGAAGACUCAGACAGCUUCCUUCUAGCUCUGGUUCUUCUACCGGUGUGCUUUCAGGUGCUCCGGAGGGCCCGGUGGCAGGGAAAGCCAGGUCUCCAGGCUCCUGGCCCAGGGCGUGUUUAGGAGGCAGGGCCUUCUCUGACACAAGUAUGAGGAGCAGAGAGGUUUCUCUUCUUCAGUCUCCACUAGGUCCUGGCCUCCAUGGCUUCUAUAGGCAGGGACCUGGCCAGGGCAUUCACCAGAGACUUUGACAGGGAGUCCAGGCCCAGACCCCAUAGGCAGAGCCAGGAGCCCUGUGCCAGCUUCCCAGGGAGCACCGGGGCCCAACGUAGAGUCAAGAGCUGGCAUCAGCACAGGUGCAAGGUGGGGUUGGGAAGGGCAUGGCAGCUUGGGGGUCUGCAGUGCACAGGUGGCCUGGCAUGAGGUAGGUGGGCCGGCUUGAAGGUCUAGAAGAUGGAUAGACACCAGAGACUUGUAGUCUAUGUCUCCUUCUUGCUGUCCCCUGGAUGUCACCUCCCCUCUGCCCCCAGUGCUGAACUAACCCCCUUCAUCUUUUACUUGGGACUCCAUCAGUGACUCAUCAUUGCUUUUGGUGUGACUUACCAGCGGCCGCUCCGUCUGCCUCUUCCUUCCCCUCCAGGGUCAUUUUGAACACUCUUCCUUCCUGACAACUAAACUUUUCACUGUUUCCCAUCA